GAAGCAGCAUCAGCCAUGUGGAAGUCCAGUGUAGUAUCUGUUCUCGUCAGUUUAAUAUCUGAAGCAUCUUCUGUCCGAGGACAACAGAAGAAGUAAAUUUUAGGAGCAGGGAGGUUGAAGGGAAGCUUGCUUCAUCCAAUUCAUGCAUUGACUUGGUAUUGCAGUACCUCUAGGAAUGGUGCACAUCCU
This 189-nucleotide small nuclear RNA is filed under the name Tupaia belangeri (northern tree shrew). RNAcentral describes it as "U2 spliceosomal RNA (ENSTBEG00000018237.1)". It matches the Rfam family "U2 spliceosomal RNA". From Rfam's summary of the family: U2 is a small nuclear RNA (snRNA) component of the spliceosome (involved in pre-mRNA splicing). Complementary binding between U2 snRNA (in an area lying towards the 5' end but 3' to hairpin I) and the branchpoint sequence (BPS) of the intron results the bulging out of an unpaired adenosine, on the BPS, which initiates a nucleophilic attack at the intronic 5' splice site, thus starting the first of two transesterification reactions that mediate splicing. The record is from RNAcentral. Lineage: Eukaryota; Metazoa; Chordata; Mammalia; Scandentia; Tupaiidae.